RNAcentral lists this ribosomal RNA (252 nucleotides) under uncultured bacterium. Its description in RNAcentral is "partial 16S ribosomal RNA". It matches the Rfam family "Bacterial small subunit ribosomal RNA", at positions 57 to 305 of the family's 1533-position model. The record is from RNAcentral.
GCAAGUCGAACGGAAACGAUGGAAAGCUUGCUUUCCAGGCGACGAGUGGCGGACGGGUGAGUAAUACAUAGGAAUCUGCCCAGUAGCGGGGGACAACGUGUGGAAACGCACGCUAAUACCGCAUACGCCCUACGGGGGAAAGCGGGGGACCUUCGGGCCUCGCACUAUUGGAUGAGCCUAUGUCUGAUUAGCUUGUUGGUGGGGUAAUGGCCCACCAAGGCAACGAUCAGUAGCUGGUUUGAGAGAAUGAUC